CCAAAGGCUCUUUUCAGAGCCACCCACGUUUUCUGUAAAGUGCUG
This is a non-coding RNA of Pongo abelii (Sumatran orangutan), 45 nucleotides long. The record is from Rfam. Lineage: Eukaryota; Metazoa; Chordata; Mammalia; Primates; Hominidae.